This 117-nucleotide non-coding RNA is filed under the name Homo sapiens (human). Lineage: Eukaryota; Metazoa; Chordata; Mammalia; Primates; Hominidae. The record is from Rfam by way of RNAcentral.
GCCGGGCAUGGUGGCUCAUGCCUAUAAUCCCUGCACUUUGGGAGGCUGAGGCAGGCGGAUCACCUGAGGUCAGGAGUUCCAGACCAGCCUGGCCAACAUGGUGAAACCCUGUCUCUA